UUGACCUCAAAUCAGGUAGGACUACCCGCUGAACUUAAGCAUAUCAAUAAGCGGAGGAAAAGAAACUAACAAGGAUUCCCCUAGUAACUGCGAGUGAAGCGGGAAAAGCUCAAAUUUUGAAUCUGGCAGUCUUUGCA
This 137-nucleotide ribosomal RNA is filed under the name Boletus edulis. RNAcentral describes it as "partial 28S ribosomal RNA". It matches the Rfam family "Eukaryotic large subunit ribosomal RNA", at positions 1 to 138 of the family's 3401-position model. The record is from RNAcentral. Lineage: Eukaryota; Fungi; Basidiomycota; Agaricomycetes; Boletales; Boletaceae.